Molecule: non-coding RNA, 3081 nt
Organism: Peromyscus maniculatus bairdii (prairie deer mouse)
Lineage: Eukaryota; Metazoa; Chordata; Mammalia; Rodentia; Cricetidae
Source: RefSeq, a predicted model, not a curated record
ACUACCUACCCCUGGACAGAUUGUCAGUGUGUACCUGUUUGCUUGGAGGGUAGCCUUGUUUGAGACUAGAAUAAUGCAUGGCUUCCGGCACUGAAUGAGAGUCUGGUGCUGUUGUCCCAUGCUUUCUUAGUAGAGUGUUGUCUUUAUCCCCGUCACAUCUCUGGGAAGGACUGUGGCUGUACAGUUCUGGUGCUGCUGUUUAGUGCCGUUUCUGUUGUUAAAGACUGUCAGGGUGCAGAGUGAAGAACCUUUGUCUGACUUUUGUUUCUUAACGGUUCCUUAAAACACGCUAAUGUAAGUUUUCUGGGUUGGUGGUUUGUACUACCAGCAUUGAACAUUUCUAGCAAAAGUUUAAAGCCAAUAAUUUAGUAUUUAUAAUAUUUUAAGUGUAUAACUGAAUUGUAAUAUACUUAUCUUAGAAAUCCCAGGUAAAUAAUUUUGUGUGAAUUAAUCUGAGUAGACAUUGUGAAUUCUUUUUUUUCUCCCAAAUACUUUAUAUAUGCCAUGGUAUGCACGUAGAGGUGAAGGGAAAAUGUCAGUACUCAGUGUUGUUAUUCCUCUGUGGCUUCCAUGGGUCAAAUUUGGGUCUUCAGGCUUCGGGGGCAGGUGUGAGUGCCUUUUCCCAGUGAUCCAAGCCCCUGGCCUGACAUAAAUUCUACCUCAGACCUUGGUCAGUUUGUGUAUGGAACUUCUCAACUUUCUCCUUUACCUCCUUGCAGACUAGGGAUAACAAUAGUCCUUGCCUCGUGGAAUUGUGAAGCCCUAAUGAGAAAUUCACAAACUGCAGAGCACAGUGCCCAGCAUCAGUGCCCAGGAAAUGGUGGACAGCACCAGCUUUCCUCAGACAUACUCAACCUGACUUCAUCCCGUCUCCUAAACCUUCUUUCCUCUCCCAACAUCUAAGGAAGCUUUCGGGAUUAUCGAAGAUGUCCAUAUACACGAGGCUGAAGUUAUUAUUUUUGAUCUAGUUCUAAUGUCUGUAGUUACAGAAUUUGCCUAUUCUGGCAUUUGUAUGGCUUAAAUGUGAGCUAUUCUCUGUAGCUUAUGCAUUGGGUCCCCAGACGCUGUUGCUGCUUGUGAAGUUGUAGGACCUGUGGGAGCAGAGGGUGUUGAUUCAUUCUGGCCCUCCUCCCCGCCCUCUCUCCUGCCACCCAGAUCCACAUAGAUGGGAACAUGCUUGUGGGGAGUGGAGGAAGCCCUGAGUGAAUCUGUAUUGUUGACAUGAACACAGACAUGUCAAGGAUCCCAAUGCCUCAGACUCAAGGAAAAGCAAAGCCGUCUUCUUCAGGUGAGCUCAGAGGAACGGCAGAGCCUUUUUACAGAUGUAUUUACAGAUGCUUGGCUAGUGUGUGCAGGAAAACAAAAAACAAAAGGCUAGCACACAGCUUCCUCCUCCCCUAGAGACUACCCGAGUUUCCAGAUUACGUAGUGGGGCCGCCAUCAGAGAGCACAGCCCACCUGGGUUGCCCAGCUAGUCUGUGUUUGUCUUCUUCAUCCCCAAAGUGCCACAGUCAUGUUCCCAGGACCAAAGUCAUGACAUGGCACAUGCUCGCUCAGUCAUAUCUGGUGUGACUUCUCCACGAUGGACUUCUAAGCCAUAAGCCAAAAUAAAUCUUUCCUUCCUUAGUUAAGCCAGGUCUUUUAACACCAAAAUAAAUCUUUCCUUCCUUAGUUAAGCCAGGUCUUUUAACACAGCAAUGAGUAAGCCAUAGUUAACUACCUUUUGCUUUUGACCCAUUUAAUGAGCUUUCUCAUCAGGAGCCAAGUAACUUCACAAAAAUUGUGUAUUACAAAUAGACUUCAGUCUUUCAAGUGAGACAAAUCCUCAUUUUAAAUGCUGUUUACUGGGACUUAGGGAUGCAGCUCAGUAGUCGAGCUCUCAUGGAAGGUCCUGGGGUUUGAACUCCAGUACUGUUUGGAGACAGGGUCUCAUUAUGUAGCCUUGCAUGGUACUGAUUAUGUAGACUAGGCUGGCCUCAAAUUCCUAGAGCUCCUUGUGUACUGGGAGAGACUAAAGUUGUGCACCACCACACUUUGCUUCCCUGUUUGUAUCCAGCUUUGGGUUGUAUCUCAGUUAUUUAUCCCACUUGGACGUGCUGGAACAUAAUAUGGAGGAUAUAAGCAGUAAAAAGGAUCCUUAGCAUUGGGCAGUGAUUAACAUUUAUCAGUUUUUAUAAUAAUGAACUAUUCAGUGUUACAAGAAGUCAGAGUAUGGCCGCCUUUCUUACAACUUGCACUUCAGAUAAAUGAUGCUCCCAAUGUAGUCUGGACAGCACACUUGGAGAAAGGCCAGGUCUCUCGGCACACAAGUCUACACUGUCUACAGCUUCAGCUUUGAGAGGUACUUGUCCCAGAUUUGCAGUCUGUAGGGAAAGACUUGUCUCCUCUCUGCUACUUCUAAGACCACACUGUAAAGAAAACAUUGAGGAAGCACGCUAACCCUGUUCUCCACAGCUAGAGCCUGGCUAUCCAGAAUCCUAAGUAGGGUUCACUCACGGUCCCGGUAAGUGGUACUUUGUUAGGCUUUCGUGCACAGUCUCCAGAGACCUGGUGACUCUUACAGGCUCAGAGCUGCCAUGCUUGCCAACCUUACUCAAGUUGUUCUCUUUUCUGCCAGGGCAUUUGGUUUAUCCACUCUAAAAACACGCCAGUGUGUCCUUUUACUGCCAUUAAUCGAAGUUGGGGAUUACCGAAAGCUUUUCAUGUUCUGCUUUCAUGUACUUCCUUUUCUGUCUAGGCAGCAUAAUUCGCUGUAUGAGGCGCCUGGAAGAACUGCUUCGACAGAUGUGUCAAGCAGCAAAAGCCAUUGGAAACACAGAGCUGGAGAACAAAUUUGCUGAAGGAAUCACCAAAAUCAAGAGGGAUAUUGUAUUCGCUGCCAGCCUCUACUUAUAGAGUUCAACAUUAAUCACCAUCUGUCUGAUUACAGUUGACUGUAACUGCUUACAAGUGUCCAAGUGAUUCUUCCAUCAAGAGUUGUUUGAAGCAUUUUAUUAUAUUUAAAUCAGAUAUCAUUCUAAGAAGGCAUGUAACAUACACAUUUGUACAUAGCAUCUUUCAAUUAAAAAAUGUACAAGUGGG